This 68-nucleotide transfer RNA is filed under the name Henricia pachyderma. RNAcentral's name for it is "tRNA-Val". Lineage: Eukaryota; Metazoa; Echinodermata; Asteroidea; Spinulosida; Echinasteridae. The record is from RNAcentral.
UAGACAGAGCUUGAAUAAGCAGCUCUUUUACACAGAGAAGAUAUUUGAUAAAACCGAAUUGUCUCGAA